Molecule: RNA transcript, 3736 nt
Organism: Paramacrobiotus metropolitanus
Lineage: Eukaryota; Metazoa; Tardigrada; Eutardigrada; Parachela; Macrobiotidae
Exons: 8
Source: RefSeq, a predicted model, not a curated record
UGGGCAAUAUGAUUAUUUACGGUUUCAGCAGUCGAAUUUCAAAUCAAUUCGAUGGUUAUAACCGGAAACAGUGCGGAGGGUACUGCAAACUGAACUGGACUCACUCAAAAAAGCUUGCAGUAAUUAAUUUCGGGCUGCAAUAGAGCAACGGUUGCGAUAAGUGUUUUCAGUGAGCAGUAGUACCAGAAUUUCCAGCGCAUCUCCUCAAUGGGGAACGACCAGUCUACUACGGAUCAGGAGUAUCAGCCGACAAAACUAAAAAUUUUAUUAGAGCGUGUACGGAAUGUCCCCAUGUACACAUCCGCAGAUGGGAACAGGAAAGCUGAAGUGUUUAUCGAACUGUCUUUGGGAGGUGUGGCGUUUACUACACACAGGGUAUUUGCCUCUUUAACCGGCGAGGUCAUUCUGAAGAAGAAAUUCUCGUUUUUUUUGAAGGCUCCACCUCGAUCUCCUUUGACGCUGAAAGUAAUUGAUUAUAAGCUUGGAGAAAUUGGACGAAAGGAAUUGACAUGGGGAGCCAUUCCCCACUACAGAAAAUGGGACUUAUACACCCCCAGUUACCAUUGGACGUUUACGCCGGCGAGGGAUACUAUUUCAAAGUUGAAUAGCGAGGCUACCGAAAACGUGUUUGUGAACCCCGCACCAUGCAAACUUGAAUUCAAGGCCAUUAUUUCGCGCCGAAAAUGCAUACGACCGAAGGUUUCCGUCGUUGUUUGCCCUUGCAUUCGCAUUACGUCCUCUUCAGAGGCUCAGUCGGUUAAGGAAAACUUUCCUCUGGUCGACGAGCGCAUUCGGCGCUGGACGGUCCUGAACUGCAACCUCAAGGAACUGGAGACCGCAACGCGCGCGGUAGUCCACAAGUGGUCCGUGGUAGCUAAUCAGAAUAAUGUUAUUCUUGGCGACAUCUACGACCUAUACGAUCCACAUGAUCGGCGCCAUGCGAAUCGCCAAGCCUUUCUGCGCAGGCACUCUCAGUCUGUUGUUGCACCCGGUCCACCACUCACUAAGAAAGCUGAUGCGAAUAUUUCCCAGCUAGAUAUUACAGUGAUAGGGAACUUGUCGAUGCCAGAUCCAAAUGAAGUUGGAACAUCGAUCUCAGGCCCGGAAGUUCACCCGGUUGUUGAAUCAGCGGAACAGCGGUUCAUCAGUCAGCAGCGCUCGUUCUCGACGGUAAUACGCCUUGCAGACGUUGGAGAGCACGCUGAUUUGAAGACAUUAUUUCUCUGGCGGAGUCUGCCAAACAUUUUAAUGGCAACGGACACAAAAGACACCAUCCUGUCCGAUCUUCUCAACAAAACCACAAACUACUACUACAACCCGUCCGAUUGGCCGCUUAUUUCUCACGUUCAUCCACAUCGUGUUUUGUGUUCUGGAGGGGAGACGGUUACGGUUACAGGACGGCAUUUUGGUCUUUAUCAUACACAACUAGCCAAACUGCUAGUUUGUGGUGUGGACUGUACCGACACUCUACAGUACAUAUCGACCUCUAAAUUCCGUUUUGUAACGAAACCCUGUAUUCCAUGCUGUGGUGAGGUUAAGUUAUGGACGAGUGCCGGACAGAUUAGUGCCAGCAAAGCAACAAUUUGGUUUUACGAUCCGCUUAUGGAAGUGACCAGCACUGAAGAAACCGCUUCCCUAAGAAAAUCACGAAAGCAGAUAAGUUCGCUGGAAAGACUGAAGCAAUACGAAGCUACACUGGAGGAGGAGAUUGUCACCGUGAUAAAAAGUGUUGUCCAUAACGAGCUGUACAAUGACGCGCUGAAGUCUUAUUUGGCCGAUUUAGAGCAGCGAGCAGCGGCUAAUCACCCGGAUAUAUUUCAUGAAUACCGAGUGGAUGUUGACGAUCUAUUGCACCAUCACCACCACAGCUUGGCGUACCACAGAUUGCAUUAGGAAGCGCUAUGUGAAUUUUGCAUCUGUAAAUUGUAACGGCUGCACGAAUUUUUUAGUGUAACCAUUUCUUGGCAAUGAGAAAAAACAUUUUAAUCUUGCCUCUAAUGGCAGUUGAAAAACUUGGUAGACUACCGCAAAGCGGUUUACUGGAGCGAUUCUUUAAAGAAAUGCACUUGUUGUACUACGAGUGAUACCUAUUACCUAAGCAACCCCAUCGAAGUACGGGUCUUUUCUGCAAAGUCAAUGCUAAAAGUACAGUUUGCCAUGACUUUAAAGUUUUGAUCACGUAUACUUUGAUCAUGGGAGACGUUCUUCGUAGCCCUGACCCUAUGCCAUCAAAAAAUGGAACUGCCAAAUUUGCCGGUGAAGACAGCAAUGAAAUCUCGGAAUCGAUAGCCCUGCAUCCACUUAUCUUUGGGCCGGGAGCCCUUUUGCGCAGUUCUCUAUUAUGGUUAGAAGAUGUGGAGCUUGCGAAACAAAACUCCACCAACAGGGUACACUUUCCGCAGUCACCGUCUACAAAGCCAACUGCGGAAGUUAUGCGCACCGGUCUCCAGAAGAAAACGCUUUUGACUGGUAAAAGCUUACAGACAGAUGCGUCGGCAGAUGCGAACCGCAAAUCUAUGUCAUUGCUGAAACAAGCGGCAAAGACAGUAGACAAACCAGAUUUUAAUAGCUUUCGAGAAACAGUAUUCCGACAAUACGAUCGUGCAGCGAAAACCCACCCAGUGUUGACUAAUGAUCAGUCCUCGAAACAACGCGCAGCCGGACGGUCCGACCUUUUUGAUAAUCGUGCUAAACAACUACUUAAUGCCAUGGCUUUAAACCUUUUUGGUAUCACCAGCUCAUUGAAGUUCCUAGGAAGUUUAACAGAAAACUACGUUUCAUCACGACGACUUCGAUCGACGAAACUGCGCCGACAAGCCAAUAUACUCCGGGUCAACGCUAUCAGAACCUUACGAACGAGCCAGGAAGUUGAGAACGUUCUCGCUUUGUGUGCGGAGCAUUUAAGCAACAUGCAGUUUCGAGUUUCCCUGGAACUGAAAGAACUACACCCCUCACUGGCGGAGCGCCUAGACAAAUUCGAGAAAACAUUCCAGAACGAAAUGGAUAGAACUUCCAGUAUGUUCAACAACAUGAACGCAAUGGUUUCCCGAGAAAAUGCAGUUUUAUUUUUGGGCGAAAGGCAACAGUACCAGUUGUCAUACAAGCUAAACUUGGCGAUGAUGGGCGUUGUAGCCAAUUUACGAUUAGCCGCGCAACAAACGCUGGAUCUUUUGAAAUGGUUUCGUCGACAGUAUCACAGCUUUAUCAGGCUUUUUAUGGACCGCAACUGGGAAUACUUCUAUUUAUUUUAUUUUUGUUUAAUAAAUUAUCUUAUUUGGAAAGCUGGUCGCAAAAAUUUACCCGGUUUCAUAACUUUCUACAUGGACGCCAUGGAGUAUUUGGUUCGGUUUUCAUGGACAGCAAAAUUACCAGCGUUAUAUAAACAAAUAUUUAUGGUUAUGUGGAAGCUAGCAGAUAUCUACGGCAUAUUAAUGCUAUUCUCGUUUUUAAUGGAUUUUUUUCUGAAAUUAGUAGUUGACUUCUUCGCACGAGUGCCCAAAUUCUGGCUUAAUCACUUUUAUUGGGCUAUUCGUCCAGCGCUAAUUUGGGUACCUGUGGGAACGUUAAGACUUUUUAUUCCAUUUUUGGAUGCUGUACUAACAACCGGCUUGCAAGUGUGGGAAAUCUGUGUGAGCGAAUUUUAUGAUAAUGUGUUGUCAGACUUUCUACAAGCCAAUGCUACGAGAGCGAUAAUUCUAUGGGUUGCAGAAUAUGAAAACGAAAUAAGACAAUCAAA